This 718-nucleotide unclassified non-coding RNA is filed under the name Bradyrhizobium sp. STM 3080. Its description in RNAcentral is "partial 16S-23S ribosomal RNA intergenic spacer". The stretch from base 95 to 167 matches the Rfam family "tRNA". Lineage: Bacteria; Pseudomonadati; Pseudomonadota; Alphaproteobacteria; Hyphomicrobiales; Nitrobacteraceae. The record is from RNAcentral.
UGGUUAGAGCGCGCGCUUGAUAAGCGUGAGGUCGGAAGUUCAAGUCUUCCCAGGCCCACCACUUUCAUCGAGUGAGCAUUCGUCUUCUGGUUACGGGGCCAUAGCUCAGCUGGGAGAGCGCGUGCUUUGCAAGCAUGAGGUCGUCGGUUCGAUCCCGUCUGGCUCCACCACGCUUCGCCUUUCAGGCUUCGCGUGGCGCAGCCAAGCACGGUCGAAGCGUGCCCGGCGUAGCUCACUUGAGCGUAGACGGGCUGGUUGAGAUCAGCCCGUAACCAUCACCGUCCGCGAAACAUCACUUCGCAUCCUGCUAGUCUGGAUAGACAGCAAGAUGCGUGUUUUCUGACAUCGUAAAGAGGAGAUCGAUCCGAGUUGGGUCGUGCAGCAGAUUGUUGCGCGAAUCCUUCAUUAUCUCCGGAUCAUUUUCGGCGCUCGCUUUCAGCCGUGAGGUUGAAUGCGAGUUGUAAAAUGAUCCUUUUAGCGAAGCUUGACCGCCUCGCUAUCGGAACGAUCUUACGAAGCAAGCUGGUCUUUCUAGUCAAUGUCCGGCUGCACGUAGCAUUCAUCGAGGGUGCGCGCCGUAAGGCAAUCGUGCAGACAACAUUCUGCCGAGUGUGUGGACAUUGAUAAUGAGAGCAAUCAAGUGCCUUAAGGGUGUUCGGUGGAUGCCUUGGCGCUGAGAGGCGAUGAAGGACGUGCUACGCUGCGAUAAGCCGUGGGG